GGGGCUACCUUCCACCCUUUGUUACCACACAAUCGUUGCUUUGGCGGGCCGCCUAGCUACUGGCUUCGGCUGGUAAGUGCCCGCCAGAGAACCCCAAACCCAAACCAUUUAUAGUGUCGUCUGAAUAAAAAGUUUAAUAUUUAAAACUUUCAACAACGGAUCUCUUGGCUCUGGCAUCGAUGAAGAACGCAGCGAAAUGCGAUAAGUAAUGUGAAUUGCAGAAUUCAGUGAAUCAUCGAAUCUUUGAACGCACAUUGCGCCCCUUGGUAUUCCGGGGGGCAUGCCUGUUCGAGCGUCAUUAUCACCCCUCAAGCUCUGCUUGGUGUUGGGACCUGCUGUCAAAGGCAGUCCCUAAAAUCAGUGGCGGUGCCGUCAGGCUCUAAGCGUAGUAAUACUCCUCGCUAUAGGGUCCUGGUGGUGUCUUGCCAAAACCCCCCAUUUUUUCAUGAUUGACCUCGGAUCAGGUAGGGAUACCCGCUGAACUUAAGCAUAUCAAUAAGCGGAGGAAAAGAAACCAACAGGGAUUGCCUCAGUAACGGCGAGUGAAGCGGCAAAAGCUCAAAUUUGAAAUCUGGCUCUUUCAGGGUCCGAGUUGUAAUUUGUAGAAGAUGCUUUGGGUGUGGCUCCGGUUUAAGUUCUUUGGAAUAUUACAUCAUAGAGGGUGAGAAUCCCGUAUGUGACCGGUCGCCGCCCCCGUGUAAAGCUCUUUCAACGAGUCGAGUUGUUUGGGAAUGCAGCUC
Molecule: ribosomal RNA, 740 nt
Filed under: uncultured fungus
Lineage: Eukaryota; Fungi
Description: eukaryotic LSU rRNA
Rfam family: Eukaryotic large subunit ribosomal RNA (bases 451-740)
Source: RNAcentral